RNAcentral lists this long non-coding RNA (6028 nucleotides) under Elaeis guineensis (African oil palm). Its description in RNAcentral is "long non-coding RNA (EGUI_LNC049793)". The record is from RNAcentral. Lineage: Eukaryota; Viridiplantae; Streptophyta; Magnoliopsida; Arecales; Arecaceae.
UCCGCUGUCUGAGCCGGCUCUCUCAGAGCUCGAGCCGACUCGACUGCUGGCUGAUGCUCCUAAUGCUUCCUUCACACCUUUCCUCAUCAGUUCCCAAGGCUUGGAAGCACCACACCUGAGCUCACAAUCUCCACCUUGGUGCUUUCAAGUCCUUGUGAAGUCAGUCCCAUCACCAGUCCCAUCAAUGCCAUAUAAUAACGAAAGCUGUUCCGUGGAAGUACCUUCGCGAGUACAUCAGUUGGAUUCUCCUUGGUGUGAACCUUCACCAGCUUCACUUCACCAUCUUCUACAAACUCUCUGAUCCGAUGGUACCUGAUGUCAAUGUCUUCGUCCUUGCAUGAUAAACGGAGUUCUGUACAAGCAACAAAGCACUUUGGCUGUCAGAAUGCACUCUGACAGCCUUUUGUGAGAAGUCCAUCUCCAAAGCCAAGCCCUUCAACUAUAGGGCUUCCUUCGCUGUCUCUGUGAUGCUAAUGUACUCCGCUUUUGUAUUAGACAAGACCGUUAGGGUUGGAAGCAAGAUCUCUACAAGAUUGGACCUCCAUACAGGCUAAACACAAAACCUAUCGUUGAGCGCCGAAUGUUCACAUCUCCAUCAAAAUCUGCAUCUACAAACCUCUCUGUAACCCCUUGAGCCUCCUUGGACAUGUUGAAGUAUCCAUCAACAUCUCCUUACUAAUCAGAGCAAAUACCAACUCCAACUAUACCAGCCAAAUAUCUGAAAAUAUCUUUCAGUGCUCUUCAGUGCUCUCUGUCAGGCUGCGCCAUAAAUCUGCUCACCUGACUCACUGUAUGGGCUAUAUCCGACCUACAACACACCGUAGAGUACAUAACGCUUUCCACACCAGAGGCACACAAUACUCUCUCCAUCUCUUGAGCCUCCAUCUCAGUCUUUGGCGAUAUAAUCUUCGAGAGUCUGAAGUAUCCGACAAAUGACAGCUCUGUCGGUUGCGCAUCCUUCAUCCCAUAUCUCUCCAAGACCUUCCUUAUACAGCCUCCCUGAGAUAAGUGCAACAUCCCCUUGGAUCUAUCUCUGCGGAUCUCCAUACCUAGGAUCUUCCGUGCAGGCCCCAAGCCCUUCAUCUCAAACUUCCGAGACAAAGCUUCUUUCAACUCCUACACAACUUUUUUACUCUUGCAUACAAUCAACAUAUCAUCUACAUGCAAAAGUAAAUAUAUCCUAGAUCGAUCAUCCAGAGAUCUAACAUACACACAUGGGUCAUAAUCACACCUGGAAAGGCCAAUGCUCCUCACAUAAGUGUCAAAUCACUUGUACCACUGUCUAGGAAACUGCUUCAAUCCGUACAACGAUUUCUUCAACAAACAAACCAUUCCAUCUGAUCCAGAUUUUCUAAACCCCUUUGACUGCUCCACAUAAAUGCUCUCCUUCAAAUGACCAUGAAGGAAUGCCGUCUUCACAUCCAUCUGCUCCAAUUCCAGAUUUUGUGCUGCUACAAUGCUCAACAGCACCCUGAUAGAUGUAUGCCUGAUGACCGGAGAGAAUACCUCUGUAUAAUUAACUCCUGUCUGUGAAUACCCUUUGGCUACUAGCCUAGCCUUGUACCUCACUCCACCUUACUCUGAAGGUGCCUCCUUUCUGGUAUAAAAUCAUUUGGAGCCAAUAGAUCCAGCAUCCUCUGAUAAAUCCACCAACUGCCAUGUCCGGCUCUUCUUGAGAGACUCCAUCUCCUCUAUCAUAGCCUACAUCCAUGACUCCCGAUCCAAACUCCCUAUGGCCUCCUCAAAGAUCUCUGGAUCACCAUUAGCAGUGAUGAGAGCAUAGAAAAUCGUCUCAUCAAUGCCAUACCUGAUCGAUUUAUGAACAGUGCGUUUCGGCUUGUGCAAUGCCACCCCCUUGCUGUAUCCUGCAAGUCUGCUGCCUGUGGCUGCCUCUGCACUUCCUCCUGAACAACAUCCUCACCUCGCUGAUCCUCCAUAGGUGUAUGACCAUCGCCUUCCCAACUCCAUCUCAANNNNNNNNNNNNNNNNNNNNUGAACAGUGCGUUUCGGCUUGUGCAAUGCCACCCCCUUGCUGUAUCCUGCAAGUCUGCUGCCUGUGGCUGCCUCUGCACUUCCUCCUGAACAACAUCCUCACCUCGCUGAUCCUCCAUAGGUGUAUGACCAUGCCUUCCCAACUCCAUCUCAAACUGAAUAUGUUUCGAGCCUGAAGUUGAAGGCAAAUCACCUGACUGCAAGUGCUGUUCACUGUUGUCUUGAGCUGUCUUUCCUACUCCAUCCGCACUUUUCAGCCUUUUCAAGAUGCUCUUUUCAUCAAAGAUCACAUUCCUGCUGAUGACACACUUCUGAAAAUGUGGAUCCCAAAGCAAAUAACCCUUCACACCUGCAGGACAUCCGAUGAAGAUCUUCUGUGACUUUAGAUCCAACUUACUCCGUUCGACUUCCUCCACCAAAGCAUAAGCCGGACAGCCGAACACCUUCAGAUGGCCAAGCUCCACCUUUUUCCCACUCCAGAUUGCCUCUAAAAAUCUUCCAUUGAGUGAUCUAUGGGGAGACCUGUUAACAAGAAAACAAGUAAAUGUUAGAACAUCACCCCAAAAAGAUUUAGAUAGUGAUGCUUGCAUCCUCAAGCUUCUGACCUUCUCAAUCGGUGUUUGGUUCAUCCUCUCCGUGACACCGUUCUGUUGAGGGGUCAUCCUCACUGUGUAAUGACGCUUGAUGCCAUUUUUCUCACAGUACCUCCUGAACUCCAAGCAUGUGUACUCUCCUCCAUUAUCAGACCUUAGACACUUCGCUGGCUACCCUGUCUCCUCCACCUCAGCUCUCCAGACUUUAAAUCGGGCAAACAUCUCUGAUUUUUUUCGGAUCAGAUACACCCAAACUCUCCUGGACAAGUCAUCUAUAAAGGUAACAAAGUAUCUAGCUCCACCCCGAGCUACAACAGGUGCCGGUCCCCAUACGUCCGAGUGAACAAGCUCCAAAAUAGCUUCACUCCACUUAGAACUACUAGCAAACUUUACUCUGUACUAUUUACCAUAGAUACAAGGCUCACAAAGGUCAUCACCCUCUUUGAGUGCCUCUCCUACUCAAUUUCGUGAGCCCCUAGUCACUCAUGUGACCCAUACAAUAGUGCCACAGCUGAUAGACGAGUUGCUCCUCAUAUGCUGCUACAGAAGCCUUCACACUAUGGGUAACCACUGAGCCUUCCAUCCUAUACAGGUUAUUGCUCACUCUUCUCCCUUUCAUCACCACCAAAGCACCUUUGGAGAUCUUCAAACACCCACUCCCUAACUGACAACUGAAAGCAUAUCCCUGCUUCUCCAAAUAACCCAGGGAUAUCAAAUUCUUCUUCAGUUCCGACACAUGCUUCACAUUGGUAAGUAUCCGUAUGACUCCAUCAUACAUCCUCACCCUGAUAGCACCAACACUAGCCACUCUACAUGGGUGAUCAUCUCCAAGACUCACACUACCACCAUCUGAUUUCUCAUAGGAGGCAAACCAAUCACGAUGUGCAGUGUAGUGGUGGAAACAUGCUGAAUCAAAUGUCUAAUGGCUAUCAAACUCUACUGCCCCAUCUGAUACUACCAGUACAUCAUUUUCACUGUCUUCGGAUGAUAGAGCACCACUCCCACUGAUCGAUCCAACCUUACCCUUCCCCUUCUCAUUCUUCAGAAGUGGGCAAUUCCUUCUUAGAUGACCAGGCUGAUAACAUUUGUAGUAUUUUACAGCCUUCAAAUUUUCUCGAGGCUUCGAUCUGCCCUUAGACUUAUCUCGAAUCCUCUCCUUAGGUCUCCCUUGCCUCUCAUUCAUAGCAAGUAUCUCUGAGUUAGGGCUAUCUUUACAUAGCUUCUCUUGCUGCUCAUUUGAUCUGAGAACUCCAACCACUUCCUCAAAAUUCNNNNNNNNNNNNNNNNNNNNAAGAUCUCUUUCCCAUACACCAAAGUAGUGAUGAGACCAUCAUAAGAAAUUGGCAACGAACACAACAACAGGAGAGCUCUAUCCUCCUCAUCUAUCUUCACAUCAAGGCUCAUGACAUCCGAGCAAACUUGAUUGAAUUUCUGGAUGUGGUCAAUCAAAUCUCCUUCGGGCAUCCUCAAACUAUAUAGUUGCUUCUUCAACCACAACUUGUUUGUCAUGUUCUUGCCCAUGUAUGUAUUCUCAAGCUUCUUCCAGAGCCUUUUCAGUAUGGUCUCUACGCUAAUCUCAGGCAAAACCUCAUUAGCAAGGCAUAUUCUAAUUGUGCUAAAAGCUAUUUCCUCCAAUUCCUCCCAAUCUUCAAUAGAAAUCUUUUCAGGCCUAUCCCUAAAGACCUUAUAAAUUCUAUUCUGAACUAACAGAUCCUUUAUCUUUUGCUGCCAAAGGGUGAAAUUUUUCUUGCCAUCAAACUUCCCAAAAUCUGCCUUAAGGCUACUCGACGCCAUUCCACAUAGAUUUCAAUUCUAACACAAGGAAUACUCACAAAUCUAUGGAAUUCUGGGUAAAACAAGACAGAUUACNNNNNNNNNNNNNNNNNNNNAGGAUCUCUUUCCCAUACACCAAAGUAGUGAUGAGACCAUCAUAAGAAAUUGGCAACGAACACAACAACAGGAGAGCUCUAUCCUCCUCAUCUAUCUUCACAUCAAAGCUCAUGACAUCCGAGCAAACUUGAUUGAAUUUUUGGAUGUGGUCAAUCAAAUCUCCUUCGGACAUCCUCAAACUAUACAGUUGCUUCUUCAACCACAACUUGUUUGUCAUGUUCUUGCCCAUGUAUGUAUUCUCAAGCUUCUUCCAGAGCCUUUUCAGUCUGGUCUCUACGCUAAUCUCAGGCAAAACCUCAUUAGCAAGGCAUAUUCUAAUUGUGCUAAAAGCUAUUUCCUCCGAUUCCUCCCAAUCUUCAAUAGAAAUCUUUUCAGGCCUAUCCCUAAAGACCUUAUAAAUUCUAUUCUGAACUAACAGAUCCUUUAUCUUUUGCUGCCAAAGGGUGAAAUUUUUCUUGCCAUCAAACUUCUCAAAAUCUGCCUUAAGGCUACUCGACGCCAUUCCACAUAGAUUUCAAUUCUAACACAAGGAAUACUCACAAAUCUAUGGAAUUCUGGGUAAAACAAGACAGAUUACUCAAGAUCAAGGCAGAUCCUUAUCCAAAUCAAGCGUCCAAGACUUUUCCUCCAUCAGAUCUAGCUCCUGAGCUCUGAUACCAAUUGUUGAUAGGAUCAAAUCUUCUCUUGCUGAUCAUAGAUCGCGAAAGCAGCAGCAAGAAUGGGAGGAAAAUCUUGAUGACGGAUCAGGUCAGGCCUAGAAGAACCCUAGACACGAGGAAGAGGAGAGGAGAAAUAUGAAAGAGGGAGAGAGAGAGCAAUUAGGGAGAAAAGGCUUCUAUUCUGAUUCCAUUCAAUCAAAACCAUAUGCAAAAAUAUAUAUAUACAUGGUCAAUUUGACCUAAACUAAAAACUCCCCCAGCUAAACCAAUUAGUACAAUUUUCAAAUCCAUGUACACCCAUGUCUUGCCUUGACACCCAUUAAACUAAACCCCUAGUCUAAUCCUUGGAUUAGCUCCUUAAGACCUCCAAAACCAAGAUCUUAAGUCUCUAGAAUUGAACCCAAUUCUAGACCAAAACAGAAUCCCAAAAGUCUUCUAUCCGUGCCGUCGAGCCGGCUCUGUCAGGAUCCGAGCCAGCUCUAGCACGUCUUCCCGCAGUGUGCCAGAAAACGCUGCUUUCUGUUCUCCUGUCAGAACUGGCUCUCUCAGGAUUCGAGCCGGCUCAACCUGGAUCCGAGGCAACUCGACCUAUAGUCGAGUCAGCUCGACAGCUGUGUCAUCCACUGGUGCCAGAAAUACAACUCUCUAUCUGUGAUCCGAGCCAGCUCUCUCAGAGCUCGAGCCAACUCGAUUGCUAGCUGAUGCUCCUGAUGCUUCCUUCACACCUUGUCCUUUCCUCAUCAGUUCCCAGGACUUGGAAACACCGCACCUAAGCUCACAUCUCUCUCUAUCAAGAUUUGGUAGAAAAAGCGGAGGCCUUGGCGGCCCUCCGAGCAAACCCACAGCCUGUCUGUGGACACUGCCAGUGUCUCCUCCGACUACCCUCUCUCUCCC